RNAcentral lists this ribosomal RNA (119 nucleotides) under Pteropus alecto (black flying fox). The record is from RNAcentral. Lineage: Eukaryota; Metazoa; Chordata; Mammalia; Chiroptera; Pteropodidae.
GUCUACAGCCAUGCCACUCUGAACAAACUCGAUCCCAUCUGACCUCGGAAGCUAAGCAGGGUUGGGCCUGGUUAGUACUUGGAUGGGAGACCACCUAGGAAGACCAGGUGCUAUAGGCG